GUACUUGGAAAACCAUAUACCUUCAUAUCUAAAGAAAAGUUUCCUGACUGUUUUCUUGUAGCCACCUUUCUUGAGAUGGAAGUUCAACCAUUCGAGUCAAAAUCACCAGCCCUGCACAUGAACAGACUACUAUAAUAAAAAGGAAAUAGUCAAGCUUAAUAUUCUAAAACUCAGAAAUGCAACAGAUCUCACUCAUGGAGCUGCGAUUCAUGAGGAUUACAUUUCCAGACCUCUAUGAAUUCUCUAUUGAUGCUCAGAAUGUAUCCAAAAUAGAAGAAAAGGAUUCACCAGUGCAUAAAUAACGAUGAGCUGAAGUUGGUAAAUCGAUAUCAAAGGUCAUCAAAUCAGUUUAGUAUAAACAAAAUAGGUUUAAACAUGUACUCAUUAGUAGUUGCAUCAUAUUAAUUUGGUAAAUUGUACAGGUCUAUAUUUUGAAUCAUAAUAUGACACUCCUAAACAGUUCUUGGAUGACUAUUUCUAAUAUCGUUAGCAUAGAAAAGAGAGGAGAACAUGUGAACGUGAGGUUAAAGAAAUGGCAAAUCUUCAAAAUAGCAACUUUCUAAGUUUAUAUCACAAAAAUAGCACUCAAAAACUAAAAUGACCAAAAUAGCAUUAUAUCUUUUCAAAAUUUUAAUUUUUUUAUUUUUCAAAAUUUGAAAUCUUAUCCCCAAAAUCUCAUUUCUCAACUCUAAACCUUAAACCCUAAAUUAUAAACCCUAAACCCUAAACCCUAAAUCCUAAUCCCUAAACCCUAAACCCUAAAUUCUAAAUUCUAAACCUUAAACCCUAAAUCCUAAACUCUAAACUCUAAACCCUAAACUCUAAACCCUAAACCCUAAACCCUAAACCCUAAAUUCUAAACCCCACCCUUUAACUCUAAACUCUAAAUUUGUGACUUUAGAUAAAACAUUAAGUGUUAUUUUGUGACUUUUGACCUUGAGUGAUAGUUUGAGAACAAAAACUUGAUUUAAUGCUAUUUUUGUCUUUUUCCGUUAAAAGAAACAUAUCUACUCUGGAGGAGAGGCUCUGUUUCUUCACAUAUGAAAACAAAAACAAAACAACAAGGCAGUGACGAUUCUUUUUAAUUACCACUAAAACAAAAGUUAAAUAUUAAGAAGAAGCAUUAUAAAAGAAUCAUAGGCAUUGCAGAAAACAGAGUGAGACUGACUCGCUGGUGAAAUUGAUGAAGGAGCUGAAGCUAAAGACCCAGAGAGGAAGAGGAGAAUGAUGAUACCCAGAAGCAGAAAGUAAUCCCUUUUCUUCAUUGAAGUCACAUAUUGUGUCUACCUUGAAACAUCUCCGUGCUUUGAUUCUAGGAACCGAUGAUGCAUACACAAAAAAAAAAAGAUGAAUACAAUUUGAUUCAACUUGCAAUCAACUCGAAAUCCCUAAUUUCGCUUCUCAAACAAAAACCCUAAUCAUUACCCAACGAAACCAAAUUUAAAUUCCAACGAGAUUCACAAACUUCAAAUCAUUACAAAAAAAUACAAAGAAUUCGAACCUUCAAGAUGAUUUCAUGGAUGGAUUUGGAGAAGGAGAGAAGACGAGAUUUCUCACACAAAAAAAACCGACGAAGAGAGAGACGACCAAUAGAAACAAGAAGCCAAUAUGCGUGUGCCACGUAGGCGGUUCUUACCAAUUCUACUUACCCUUAAUUUAGCACCGGUUCUAACUAAUUAAUGCUUUUUUCAUUUAUUUUUUUUGCAUUUUUACUUUAGAACUCUUCCCUAGACACACCGAUAGAGGUGUUCUUAGAGCCAAAAUGGGAAAUGAGAUAUUCACA
Molecule: long non-coding RNA, 1783 nt
Filed under: Brassica napus (rape)
Lineage: Eukaryota; Viridiplantae; Streptophyta; Magnoliopsida; Brassicales; Brassicaceae
Description: long non-coding RNA (BNAP_LNC010420)
Source: RNAcentral